Molecule: ribosomal RNA, 496 nt
Filed under: uncultured bacterium
Lineage: Bacteria
Description: partial 16S ribosomal RNA
Rfam family: Bacterial small subunit ribosomal RNA
Source: RNAcentral
AUGAACGCUGGCGGCGUGCCUAAUCCAUGCAAGUCGAGCGAACAGACGAGGAGCUUGCUCCUCUGACGUUAGCGGCGGACGGGUGAGUAACACGUGGAUAACCUACCUAUAAGACUGGGAUAACUUCGGGAAACCGGAGCUAAUACCGGAUAAUAUAUUGAACCGCCUGGUUCAAUAGUGAAAGACGGUUUUGCUGUCACUUAUAGAUGGAUCCGCGCCGCAUUAGCUAGUUGGUAAGGUAACGGCUUACCAAGGCAACGAUGCGUAGCCGACCUGAGAGGGUGAUCGGCCACACUGGAACUGAGACACGGUCCAGACUCCUUCGGGAGGCAGCAGUAGGGAAUCUUCCGCAAUGGGCGAAAGCCUGACGGAGCAACGCCGCGUGAGUGAUGAAGGUCUUCGGAUCGUAAAACUCUGUUAUUAGGGAAGAACAAAUGUGUAAGUAACUAUGCACGUCUUGACGGUACCUAAUCAGAAAGCCACGGCUAACUACGUG